AGAGUUUGAUCCUGGCUCAGGAUGAACGCUGGCGGCGUGCCUAAUACAUGCAAGUCGAGCGAACGGACGAGAAGCUUGCUUCUCUGAUGUUAGCGGCGGACGGGGGAGUAACACGUGGAUAACCUACCUAUAAGACUGGGAUAACUUCGGGAAACCGGAGCUAAUACCGGAUAAUAUUUUGAACCGCAUGGUUCAAAAGUGAAAGACGGUCUUGCUGUCACUUAUAGAUGGAUCCGCGCUGCAUUAGCUAGUUGGUAAGGUAACGGCUUACCAAGGCAACGAUGCAUAGCCGACCUGAGAGGGUGAUCGGCCACACUGGAACUGAGACACGGUCCAGACUCCUACGGGAGGCAGCAGUAGGGAAUCUUCCGCAAUGGGCGAAAGCCUGACGGAGCAACGCCGCGUGAGUGAUGAAGGUCUUCGGAUCGUAAAACUCUGUUAUUAGGGAAGAACAUAUGUGUAAGUAACUGUGCACAUCUUGACGGUACCUAAUCAGAAAGCCACGGCUAACUACGUGCCAGCAGCCGCGGUAAUACGUAGGUGGCAAGCGUUAUCCGGAAUUAUUGGGCGUAAAGCGCGCGUAGGCGGUUUUUUAAGUCUGAUGUGAAAGCCCACGGCUCAACCGUGGAGGGUCAUUGGAAACUGGAAAACUUGAGUGCAGAAGAGGAAAGUGGAAUUCCAUGUGUAGCGGUGAAAUGCGCAGAGAUAUGGAGGAACACCAGUGGCGAAGGCGACUUUCUGGUCUGUAACUGACGCUGAUGUGCGAAAGCGUGGGGAUCAAACAGGAUUAGAUACCCUGGUAGUCCACGCCGUAAACGAUGAGUGCUAAGUGUUAGGGGGUUUCAGCCCCUUAGUGCUGCAGCUAACGCAUUAAGCACUCCGCCUGGGGAGUACGACCGCAAGGUUGAAACUCAAAGGAAUUGACGGGGACCCGCACAAGCGGUGGAGCAUGUGGUUUAAUUCGAAGCAACGCGAAGAACCUUACCAAAUCUUGACAUCCUUUGACAACUCUAGAGAUAGAGCCUUCCCCUUCGGGGGACAAAGUGACAGGUGGUGCAUGGUUGUCGUCAGCUCGUGUCGUGAGAUGUUGGGUUAAGUCCCGCAACGAGCGCAACCCUUAAGCUUAGUUGCCAUCAUUAAGUUGGGCACUCUAAGUUGACUGCCGGUGACAAACCGGAGGAAGGUGGGGAUGACGUCAAAUCAUCAUGCCCCUUAUGAUUUGGGCUACACACGUGCUACAAUGGACAAUACAAAGGGCAGCGAAACCGCGAGGUCAAGCAAAUCCCAUAAAGUUGUUCUCAGUUCGGAUUGUAGUCUGCAACUCGACUACAUGAAGCUGGAAUCGCUAGUAAUCGUAGAUCAGCAUGCUACGGUGAAUACGUUCCCGGGUCUUGUACACACCGCCCGUCACACCACGAGAGUUUGUAACACCCGAAGCCGGUGGAGUAACCUUUUAGGAGCUAGCCGUCGAAGGUGGGACAAAUGAUUGGGGUGAAGUCGUAACAAGGUAGCCGUAUCGGAAGGUGCGGCUGGAUCACCU
This 1540-nucleotide ribosomal RNA is filed under the name Staphylococcus aureus M1255. RNAcentral describes it as "16S ribosomal RNA". It matches the Rfam family "Bacterial small subunit ribosomal RNA". The record is from RNAcentral. Lineage: Bacteria; Bacillati; Bacillota; Bacilli; Caryophanales; Staphylococcaceae.